RNAcentral lists this long non-coding RNA (1255 nucleotides) under Androctonus crassicauda. Lineage: Eukaryota; Metazoa; Arthropoda; Arachnida; Scorpiones; Buthidae. The record is from RNAcentral.
CCUUUGUGCAUUCUCCUUUUAAACCUCUUUUAUAUCAGAUUAUGCAUUUAAAGAAAUAUUGUCAAGAAAAUCAGCUUUUCCUCUAUUUUAAAGAAGUAGAUCAGAAAUACUGUAAAGAUAAGGAGUUGCAACAAGUAUGAAACAAUAAGAGAUAUCCCAUUUUUAAUCCUGUGAAUGAUUUUCUUAAAUUUGGGCCUAACACUCUAAUAACACAGGUCCUCACUUAGGACAGAUUAGUAAUCAAAGUAAAACCUUUCUUAUGAAUGUAAUGAGAUGGAUGCAGAUUAUAUCAGAUGGAAUAUUGCAAGAGAAUUUCAUAAAGAACAUAUAAGAAAUAAAAAUGUAAUGAAAAGAGAGAAACUCCAAGUUUCUUUAAUGAGAAAAUAGAUAGAAAAUUAUAGCUUAACAAGUACAAGGAUGAUAAACCCAGAUUAAUGAUAUUUCUUCCUCAGUCAUUAUAUAUUGAACUCUUAACAAGAUUUCUAGAAGAUAGUGAAUGCCUAGUGAUUGACUAUGAUUCCAUGGACAAAUUGUGCUCAGAGGUCAGUAAAAUUAGUAAACAUUCAAGGUUAUCCAAUUUUCUUAAGGAUAUUAAAAUAUGUACAUUGAGACUCUCUAGUCUUUUUGGUUUUCCAAAAAGGCACAAACAUCAUCUAGAGAUAAAUAACUGAAAAACAUGAUUUGCCAGCUUAUCUUCUAGGAAAAAGUUAAUUCAUGGUGCAGGAAAAGAAUGACAUUACAAAUGGGAGAUCCAAUCAACAGAGGAAAUUCUAGGAGAAACAGGCCCCCUUCCAUAAGGAAGAAAUGGCAGUAUUUGACUUUAAGUUUCUAUAUCCACAUGUUAAAAUAGAACCAGCAUGUCUGGAACAAUAUUGCAUGCUCAUGGAACACUUGCCAAAAGAAAAGGAGGAAUGAAAGAUUAGAGAUAUAUGCCAACUUGUAACACAUCAAUCAUACUUCUUAUACAACCAAUGUUUUUAUAUACUACAAAAAGGAAUGCCAAUAGAUAGUCUGCUAGUAGAUGUUCUAGCAAAAUUGGUAGUUAGAAAAAAAGAGAAAGUGAUAAUAUAAUAGUUAAGUAGUAAAUGCACAUAUGCCAAUGCUGUAUAGAUAACAUCAUUGCAAAGGCCGUGACACACUGAAUGCGACGCGAAGCGAAGCAUUAAAAAGCAACUUUGUGCAGUUACGCGCGUACAGUGUAUCUUGGACUAGCUUUUCCCGUGCAGCUACUCAAGUUAACAUGCGUUGCCGCACA